AGUUGAUCAUGGCUCGAACGAACGCUGGCGGCGCGCUUAACACAUGCAAGUCGAACGAGAAGGCGUAGCAAUACGCUUGUAAAGUGGCGAACGGGUGAGUAACACAUGGGUGACCUACCCUUAAGUGGGGGAUAACCAGCCGAAAGGUUGGCUAAUACCGCAUACGGUUCCGGUCCUGCGGGGUCGGAAGGAAAGCUGCCCUGUGAGGGUGGCGCUUUUGGAUGGGCUCAUGUCCUAUCAGCUUGUUGGCGGGGUAACGGCCCACCAAGGCUUCGACGGGUAGCUGGUCUGAGAGGACGAUCAGCCACACUGGCACUGCGACACGGGCCAGACUCCUACGGGAGGCAGCAGUGAGGAAUAUUGCGCAAUGGGCGAAAGCCUGACGCAGCGACGCCGCGUGGGGGAUGAAGGUCUUCGGAUUGUAAACCCCUUUCGGGAGGGAAGAUGGUUGCAUACCAAUGCAACGGACGGUACCUCCAGAAGCAGCCACGGCUAACUUCGUGCCAGCAGCCGCGGUAAUACGAAGGUGGCAAGCGUUGUUCGGAUUUACUGGGCGUACAGGGAGCGUAGGUGGUUAGGUAAGCCCUUCGGGAAAUCUUCGGGCUUAACCCGGAAAGGUCGGAGGGGACUGCCUGGCUAGAGGACGGGAGAGGAGCGCGGAAUUCCGGUGUAGCGGUG
This 678-nucleotide ribosomal RNA is filed under the name uncultured bacterium. Its description in RNAcentral is "bacterial SSU rRNA". It matches the Rfam family "Bacterial small subunit ribosomal RNA", at positions 10 to 683 of the family's 1533-position model. The record is from RNAcentral.